GGGUUGUGAGGUUAAGCGACUAAGCGUACACGGUGGAUGCCCUGGCAGUCAGAGGCGAUGAAGGGCGUGCUAAUCUGCGAUAAGCGCCGGUAAGGUGAUAUGAACCGUUAUAACCGGCGAUACCCGAAUGGGGAAACCCAGUGUGAUUCGUCACACUAUCAUUAACUGAAUCCAUAGGUUAAUGAGGCGAACCGGGGGAACUGAAACAUCUAAGUACCCCGAGGAAAAGAAAUCAACCGAGAUUCCCCCAGUAGCGGCGAGCGAACGGGGAGGAGCCCAGAGCCUGAAUCAGCAUGUGUGUUAGUGGAAGCGUCUGGAAAGGCGCGCGAUACAGGGUGACAGCCCCGUACACAAAAGCGCAUGUGCUGUGAGCUCGAUGAGUAGGGCGGGACACGUGGUAUCCUGUCUGAAUAUGGGGGGACCAUCCUCCAAGGCUAAAUACUCCUGACUGACCGAUAGUGAACCAGUACCGUGAGGGAAAGGCGAAAAGAACCCCGGCGAGGGGAGUGAAAAAGAACCUGAAACCGUGUACGUACAAGCAGUGGGAGCACAGGUUUACCUGUGUGACUGCGUACCUUUUGUAUAAUGGGUCAGCGACUUAUAUUCUGUAGCAAGGUUAACCGAAUAGGGGAGCCGGAGGGAAACCGAGUCUUAAUUGGGCGUUAAGUUGCAGGGUAUAGACCCGAAACCCGGUGAUCUAGCCAUGGGCAGGUUGAAGGUUGGGUAACACUAACUGGAGGACCGAACCGACUAAUGUUGAAAAAUUAGCGGAUGACCUGUGGCUGGGGGUGAAAGGCCAAUCAAACCGGGAGAUAGCUGGUUCUCCCCGAAAGCUAUUUAGGUAGCGCCUCGUGAAUUCAUCUCCGGGGUAGAGCACUGUUUCGGCUAGGGGGCCAUCCCGGCUUACCAACCCGAUGCAAACUGCGAAUACCGGAGAAUGUUAUCACGGGAGACACACGGCGGGUGCUAACGUCCGUCGUGAAGAGGGAAACAACCCAGACCGCCAGCUAAGGUCCCAAAGUCAUGGUUAAGUGGGAAACGAUGUGGGAAGGCCCAGACAGCCAGGAUGUUGGCUUAGAAGCAGCCAUCAUUUAAAGAAAGCGUAAUAGCUCACUGGUCGAGUCGGCCUGCGCGGAAGAUGUAACGGGGCUAAACCAUGCACCGAAGCUGCGGCAGCGAACGUAUCACUUAAAGCGAUUCAGCGGGUUACGAUUGACGGAGCGAAGCGACGUCAAAGCGUAUACAAAGUCGAGUCGGUUUAAGGAUACGUUCGUUGGGUAGGGGAGCGUUCUGUAAGCCUGCGAAGGUGGCCUGUGAGGGUUGCUGGAGGUAUCAGAAGUGCGAAUGCUGACAUAAGUAACGAUAAAGCGGGUGAAAAGCCCGCUCGCCGGAAGACCAAGGGUUCCUGUCCAACGUUAAUCGGGCAGGGUGAGUCGACCCCUAAGGCGAGGCCGAAAGGCGUAGUCGAUGGGAAACGGGUUAAUAUUCCCGUACUUGGUGUUACUGCGAAGGGGGACGGAGAAGGCUAUGUUGGCCGGGCGACGGUUGUCCCGGUUUAAGCGUGUAGGUGUGUGUUCCAGGUAAAUCCGGUUCACUUUAACACUGAGGCGUGAUGACGAGGCACUACGGUGCUGAAGCAACAAAUGCCCUGCUUCCAGGAAAAGCCUCUAAGCAUCAGGUAACAUCAAAUCGUACCCCAAACCGACACAGGUGGUCAGGUAGAGAAUACCAAGGCGCUUGAGAGAACUCGGGUGAAGGAACUAGGCAAAAUGGUGCCGUAACUUCGGGAGAAGGCACGCUGACACGUAGGUGAAGUGAUUUACUCACGGAGCUGAAGUCAGUCGAAGAUACCAGCUGGCUGCAACUGUUUAUUAAAAACACAGCACUGUGCAAACACGAAAGUGGACGUAUACGGUGUGACGCCUGCCCGGUGCCGGAAGGUUAAUUGAUGGGGUCAGCGCAAGCGAAGCUCCUGAUCGAAGCCCGGUAAACGGCGGCCGUAACUAUAACGGUCCUAAGGUAGCGAAAUUCCUUGUCGGGUAAGUUCCGACCUGCACGAAUGGCGUAAUGAUGGCCAGGCUGUCUCCACCCGAGACUCAGUGAAAUUGAACUCGCUGUGAAGAUGCAGUGUACCCGCGGCAAGACGGAAAGACCCCGUGAACCUUUACUAUAGCUUGACACUGAACAUUGAGCCUUGAUGUGUAGGAUAGGUGGGAGGCUUUGAAGCGUGGACGCCAGUCUGCGUGGAGCCGACCUUGAAAUACCACCCUUUAAUGUUUGAUGUUCUAACGUGGACCCGUAAUCCGGGUUGCGGACAGUGUCUGGUGGGUAGUUUGACUGGGGCGGUCUCCUCCUAAAGAGUAACGGAGGAGCACGAAGGUUGGCUAAUCCUGGUCGGACAUCAGGAGGUUAGUGCAAUGGCAUAAGCCAGCUUGACUGCGAGCGUGACGGCGCGAGCAGGUGCGAAAGCAGGUCAUAGUGAUCCGGUGGUUCUGAAUGGAAGGGCCAUCGCUCAACGGAUAAAAGGUACUCCGGGGAUAACAGGCUGAUACCGCCCAAGAGUUCAUAUCGACGGCGGUGUUUGGCACCUCGAUGUCGGCUCAUCACAUCCUGGGGCUGAAGUAGGUCCCAAGGGUAUGGCUGUUCGCCAUUUAAAGUGGUACGCGAGCUGGGUUUAGAACGUCGUGAGACAGUUCGGUCCCUAUCUGCCGUGGGCGCUGGAGAACUGAGGGGGGCUGCUCCUAGUACGAGAGGACCGGAGUGGACGCAUCACUGGUGUUCGGGUUGUCAUGCCAAUGGCACUGCCCGGUAGCUAAAUGCGGAAGAGAUAAGUGCUGAAAGCAUCUAAGCACGAAACUUGCCCCGAGAUGAGUUCUCCCUGAGACUUUAGGUCUCCUGAAGGAACGUUGAAGACGACGACGUUGAUAGGCCGGGUGUGUAAGCGCAGCGAUGCGUUGAGCUAACCGGUACUAAUGAACCGUGAGGCUUAACCUUACAACGCCGAAG
Molecule: ribosomal RNA, 3006 nt
Filed under: Salmonella enterica subsp. enterica serovar Newport str. CVM 21554
Lineage: Bacteria; Pseudomonadati; Pseudomonadota; Gammaproteobacteria; Enterobacterales; Enterobacteriaceae
Description: bacterial LSU rRNA
Rfam family: Bacterial large subunit ribosomal RNA
Source: RNAcentral